ACGAGCACGCCAAAAAAUCCAGACGAGUUGGCGAUAGUUCUUGCGGGUGACCAAACUAAUGGCAAUCAAGAAGAUGAUGGUCAUACUCCUACAGAAGGCAAUAUUGACGUCAACAUGAAUGAUAGCAAUGUGAGUGAUCAUGAGCCCAUAUUUAAUUCAUAUGCGGUAGAAUCUACUAGUGUUGAUGAGGAACAAGUUAGUGUGGAUAUUUAUGACCCAAGCAAUUGGGGUAAUCUUGAUAACAAAGCGAGGGACAUAUUAGUGGAAAAGGGGCCUAAAAUGGAAGAAGAAAACAAUAAAUAUCCUUUGGAUGAAAAUUCAAGACAUUUUUUGUAUAGCAUUAUUACCCCAGAAAGAUGA
This 360-nucleotide ribosomal RNA is filed under the name Triticum aestivum (bread wheat). RNAcentral describes it as "partial small subunit ribosomal RNA". The record is from RNAcentral. Lineage: Eukaryota; Viridiplantae; Streptophyta; Magnoliopsida; Poales; Poaceae.